UACGUAGGUGGCAAGCGUUGUCCGGAUUUACUGGGCGUAAAGGGUAUGCAGGCGGGUUUUUAAGUAGAAAGUGAAAGGUUGGAGCUCAACUCCGACACUGCUUUCUAUACUGGGAGCCUUGAGUGCCGGAGAGGAAGAGGGAACUGCACGUGUAGCGGUGAUAUGCGUUGAGAUGUGCAGGAACACCAAUGGCGAAAGCACUCUUCUGGACGGUUACUGACGCUGAGAUACGAAAGCCAAGGGAGCGAACAGG
This 253-nucleotide ribosomal RNA is filed under the name uncultured bacterium. Its description in RNAcentral is "partial 16S ribosomal RNA". It matches the Rfam family "Bacterial small subunit ribosomal RNA", at positions 524 to 776 of the family's 1533-position model. The record is from RNAcentral.